RNAcentral lists this ribosomal RNA (2164 nucleotides) under Micromus sp. N55. RNAcentral's name for it is "SSU rRNA". It matches the Rfam family "Eukaryotic small subunit ribosomal RNA". The record is from RNAcentral. Lineage: Eukaryota; Metazoa; Arthropoda; Insecta; Neuroptera; Hemerobiidae.
UCAUAUGCUUGUCUCAAAGAUUAAGCCAUGCAUGUCUCAGUACAAGCCAAAUUAAGGUGAAACCGCGAAAGGCUCAUUAUAUCAGUUAUGGUUCCUUAGAUCGUACAUAAUUUUACUUGGAUAACUGUGGUAAUUCUAGAGCUAAUACAUGCAAACAGAAUUCCAACCAGAGAUGGAAGGAAUGCUUUUAUUAGAUCAAAACCAAUCGAUAUUUAUUUGUUCAUUCAAAUUUAUUUGGUGUUCAUAUCAUUUAUCGUUUUUUUUGGUGACUCUGAAUAACUUUAAGCAGAUCGCACGGUCUUGCACCGGCGACGCAUCUUUCAAAUGUCUGCCUUAUCAACUGUCGAUGGUAGGUUAUGCGCCUACCAUGGUUGUAACGGGUAACGGGGAAUCAGGGUUCGAUUCCGGAGAGGGAGCCUGAGAAACGGCUACCACAUCCAAGGAAGGCAGCAGGCGCGCAAAUUACUCACUCCCAGCACGGGGAAGUAGUGACGAAAAAUAACGAUGCGGGACUCAUCCGAGGCCCCGUAAUCGGAAUGAGUACACUUUAAAUCCUUUAACGAGGACCAAUUGGAGGGCAAGUCUGGUGCCAGCAGCCGCGGUAACUCCAGCUCCAAUAGCGUAUAUUAAAAUUGUUGCGGUUAAAAAGCUCGUAGUCGAACUUGUGUCCCACACUGUUGGUUCACCGCUCGCGGUGUUCAACUGGCAUGUUGUGAGACGUCCUACCGGUGGGUGGUGUGCUUCAUUUAUGUAUAUUGAUGUUAAUAUAUGUGUGCUCAUCAACAUGAUGUGGUAUCAUUAUAUAUUGCACAAUUUUAUAUAGGUGUUGUGCCGUAAGUGCUUAGCUGUCCCGACAGCGGCAGCCCCCAAAUAAUCCCAUUGCGGUUCUCUUAAUUGAGUGUCGAGAUGGGCCGGUACGUUUACUUUGAACAAAUUAGAGUGCUUAAAGCAGGCCAAUAUAAAGCCUGAAUAUUGUGUGCAUGGAAUAAUGGAAUAGGACCUCGGUUCUAUUUUGUUGGUUUUCGGAACUCCGAGGUAAUGAUUAAUACGGACAGAUGGGGGCAUUCGUAUUGCGACGUUAGAGGUGAAAUUCUUGGAUCGUCGCAAGACGGACAGAAGCGAAAGCAUUUGCCAAAAAUGUUUUGAUUGAUCAAGAACGAAAGUUAGAGGUUCGAAGGCGAUCAGAUACCGCCCUAGUUCUAACCAUAAACGAUGCCAGCUAGCGAUCCGCCGAAGUUCCUCCGAUGACUCGGCGGGCAGCUUCCGGGAAACCAAAGCUUUCGGGUUCCGGGGGAAGUAUGGUUGCAAAGCUGAAACUUAAAGGAAUUGACGGAAGGGCACCACCAGGAGUGGAGCCUGCGGCUUAAUUUGACUCAACACGGGAAAACUCACCAGGCCCAGACACCGGAAGGAUUGACAGAUUAAGAGCUCUUUCUUGAUUCGGUGGGUGGUGGUGCAUGGCCGUUCUUAGUUGGUGGAGCGAUUUGUCUGGUUAAUUCCGAUAACGAACGAGACUCUAGCCUGCUAAAUAAACGUACUUUACUAGCAUAUUAAGGCCCAUCUGCUGAUUGUUUCGCAUUUAUAUGUUAGCAUGUUCUAUUUUAGUUGUAGUAUACUUUAACACAUAUGUCUAUGCUUGUGGGUCACUACUAGUUUUACUGGAUAUAUUCCUUGUAUGGCUAUGUGUGGGUAUCUCAGCUGAGUUUUACAUGCGCAUGUAAUCGGACUUCAGUUAUGAUGUGGUUUUUACUGCUGGCGUACAAUUUAAACUUCUUAGAGGGACAAGCGGAUUUAUCCGCACGAGAUUGAGCAAUAACAGGUCUGUGAUGCCCUUAGAUGUUCUGGGCCGCACGCGCGCUACACUGAAGAAAUCAACGUGUCCUCCUUGGCCGAAAGGUCCGGGUAACCCGCUGAAACUUCUUCGUGAUAGGGAUUGGGGCUUGCAAUUGUUCCCCAUGAACGAGGAAUUCCCAGUAAAUGCGAGUCAUAAGCUCGCGUUGAUUACGUCCCUGCCCUUUGUACACACCGCCCGUCGCUACUACCGAUUGAAUGAUUUAGUGAGGUCUUCAGACCGGUACUCGGGAACGUUUCGACAUUGCCGAUGUUGCUGGGAAGAUGACCAAACUUGAUUAUUUAGAGGAAGUAAAAGUCGUAACAAGGUUUC